This 23-nucleotide microRNA is filed under the name Oryza sativa (Asian cultivated rice). Its description in RNAcentral is "osa-miR5340". Lineage: Eukaryota; Viridiplantae; Streptophyta; Magnoliopsida; Poales; Poaceae. RNAcentral also lists the same sequence under 1 other name. The record is from miRBase by way of RNAcentral.
UGAUGACGUGGAUGAAUUUCAAA